Molecule: transfer RNA, 74 nt
Filed under: Crassvirales sp.
Lineage: Duplodnaviria; Heunggongvirae; Uroviricota; Caudoviricetes; Crassvirales
Description: tRNA-Arg
Rfam family: tRNA
About the family: Transfer RNA (tRNA) molecules are approximately 80 nucleotides in length.
Source: RNAcentral
CUUCCCAUAACUCAAUGGAUUAGAGUAAUGCUCUUCUAAAGCAUAAGUUGUGAGUUCGAGUCUCACUGGGAAGA